AAAAGGGUUGAAGUGGGUGAAAGAAAAGGUCCUCUAGGUAAAAAACAGGGUCAUUUCUGUUGUCUGCGCAAGUGUAAUCGGUUACCUUGAUUAGGGUAAUCGGUUACACAGUCCCAAAAUGGCCAAAAAAUCAGUUUUUGGUCUGGGUAAUCGGUUACCCUGAUUACCGAUUACCCAAUUUUUUUAUUUUUUAUUUUAAAUUUUUUUUAAAUAUUUUUUGUUUGAAAUAAUGAAUAUAUGCAUGUGCAGCAGGGUCAUG
Molecule: long non-coding RNA, 259 nt
Filed under: Lathyrus oleraceus (garden pea)
Lineage: Eukaryota; Viridiplantae; Streptophyta; Magnoliopsida; Fabales; Fabaceae
Description: Pisum sativum (pea) long non-coding RNA (PSAT_LNC024029)
Source: RNAcentral